This 253-nucleotide ribosomal RNA is filed under the name Actinomycetes bacterium. Its description in RNAcentral is "partial 16S ribosomal RNA". It matches the Rfam family "Bacterial small subunit ribosomal RNA", at positions 524 to 776 of the family's 1533-position model. Lineage: Bacteria; Bacillati; Actinomycetota; Actinomycetes. RNAcentral also lists the same sequence under 1 other name. The record is from RNAcentral.
CACGUAGGAGGCGAGCGUUGUCCGGAAUCAUUGGGCGUAAAGAGCGCGCAGGCGGCUUGGCAAGUCGGGUGUGAAAUCCCGGGGCUCAACCCCGUGACUGCAUUCGAUACUGUCAGGCUAGAGGUAGGUAGGGGAGAUCGGAAUUCCUGGUGUAGCGGUGAAAUGCGCAGAUAUCAGGAGGAACACCGGUGGCGAAGGCGGAUCUCUGGGCCUUACCUGACGCUCAGGCGCGAAAGCGUGGGGAGCAAACAGG